ACUAAGUUAGCAUAUUCAAUGUUAUAAAUUUAGAAUUUAAAGAAAAAUAAAAUUUACUUAGUA
This 63-nucleotide transfer RNA is filed under the name Aleurocanthus camelliae (camellia spiny whitefly). RNAcentral describes it as "tRNA-Leu". The record is from RNAcentral. Lineage: Eukaryota; Metazoa; Arthropoda; Insecta; Hemiptera; Aleyrodidae.